AAAACUUUUUUUUUUUAAACGAACGGAAAAAAAAAUCUGUUCUUAUCAGUUUAAUAUCUGAUACGUCCCCUAUCUGGGGACCAUAUAUUAAAUUCAUUUUUGGAAUAGGGAGAUGGAAUAGGGGCUUGCUCCGUCCACUCCACGCAUCGACCUGGUAUUGCAGUACCUCCAGGAACGGUGCACCCCCU
RNAcentral lists this small nuclear RNA (188 nucleotides) under Oncorhynchus mykiss (rainbow trout). RNAcentral describes it as "U2 spliceosomal RNA". It matches the Rfam family "U2 spliceosomal RNA". Rfam says of the family: U2 is a small nuclear RNA (snRNA) component of the spliceosome (involved in pre-mRNA splicing). The record is from Rfam by way of RNAcentral. Lineage: Eukaryota; Metazoa; Chordata; Actinopteri; Salmoniformes; Salmonidae.